GUGCUCGCAAGAGCAGCACAUAUACUCAAAUUAGAACCACACAGAGAGUAGCAUGGCCCCCGUGGCAGGAGGACAUGCAAAUUGGUGAAGCAGUCCAUGUUCUU
Molecule: small nuclear RNA, 104 nt
Organism: Myotis daubentonii (Daubenton's bat)
Lineage: Eukaryota; Metazoa; Chordata; Mammalia; Chiroptera; Vespertilionidae
Source: RefSeq, a predicted model, not a curated record